RNAcentral lists this transfer RNA (75 nucleotides) under Bacillus amyloliquefaciens. Its description in RNAcentral is "tRNA-Thr". It matches the Rfam family "tRNA". From Rfam's summary of the family: Transfer RNA (tRNA) molecules are approximately 80 nucleotides in length. Their secondary structure includes four short double-helical elements and three loops (D, anti-codon, and T loops). Further hydrogen bonds mediate the characteristic L-shaped molecular structure. tRNAs have two regions of fundamental functional importance: the anti-codon, which is responsible for specific mRNA codon recognition, and the 3' end, to which the tRNAs corresponding amino acid is attached (by aminoacyl-tRNA synthetases). tRNAs cope with the degeneracy of the genetic code in two manners: having more than one tRNA (with a specific anti-codon) for a particular amino acid; and 'wobble' base-pairing, i.e. permitting non-standard base-pairing at the 3rd anti-codon position. Lineage: Bacteria; Bacillati; Bacillota; Bacilli; Caryophanales; Bacillaceae. The record is from RNAcentral.
GCUUAAGCCUAGCUCAAUUGGUAGAGCAACUGACUUGUAAUCAGUAGGUUGGGGGUUCAAGUCCUCUGGUAAGCA